This 74-nucleotide transfer RNA is filed under the name Nitrososphaerota archaeon. Its description in RNAcentral is "Thaumarchaeota archaeon tRNA-Thr". It matches the Rfam family "tRNA". From Rfam's summary of the family: Transfer RNA (tRNA) molecules are approximately 80 nucleotides in length. Their secondary structure includes four short double-helical elements and three loops (D, anti-codon, and T loops). Further hydrogen bonds mediate the characteristic L-shaped molecular structure. tRNAs have two regions of fundamental functional importance: the anti-codon, which is responsible for specific mRNA codon recognition, and the 3' end, to which the tRNAs corresponding amino acid is attached (by aminoacyl-tRNA synthetases). tRNAs cope with the degeneracy of the genetic code in two manners: having more than one tRNA (with a specific anti-codon) for a particular amino acid; and 'wobble' base-pairing, i.e. permitting non-standard base-pairing at the 3rd anti-codon position. The record is from RNAcentral. RNAcentral also lists the same sequence under 1 other name. Lineage: Archaea; Thermoproteati; Nitrososphaerota.
GCCGGCGUAGCUCAGCCUGGUAGAGCACUCGCCUCGUAAGCGAGGGAUCGUGGGUCCAAUUCCCACCGCCGGCU